This 813-nucleotide ribosomal RNA is filed under the name uncultured bacterium. Its description in RNAcentral is "bacterial SSU rRNA". It matches the Rfam family "Bacterial small subunit ribosomal RNA", at positions 10 to 793 of the family's 1533-position model. The record is from RNAcentral.
AGUUUGAUCCUGGCUCAGAGCGAACGUUAGCGGCGGGCCUAACACAUGCAAGUCGAGCGAGAAAGGGGCUUCGGCCCUGAGUAAAGCGGCGGACGGGUGAGUAACACGUAGGUAAUUUUCCCUUGAGCGGGGGACAACGAUUCGAAAGGAUCGCUAAUACCGCAUACGUUUCUAGAAACUCCGGUUUUUAGAAGGAAAGCUAGGCCGCAAGGUCCGGCACUCGAGGAGAAGCCUGCGUCGCAUCAGCUAGUUGGUGGGGUAACGGCCUACCAAGGCGAAGACGCGUAGCUGGUCUGAGAGGAUGAUCAGCCACACUGGGACUGAGACACGGCCCAGACUCCUACGGGAGGCAGCAGUGGGGAAUAUUGGACAAUGGGCGCAAGCCUGAUCCAGCCACGCCGCGUGAGUGAUGAAGGCCUUCGGGUCGUAAAGCUCUGUGGGGAGGGACGAGCCGCUGGAUGUGCAUAGCUUGCAGCAUGACUGGUACCUCCUUAGCAAGCACCGGCUAACUUCGUGCCAGCAGCCGCGGUAAUACGACGGGUGCAAACGUGGCUCGGAAUCAUAGGGCGUAAAGCGCACGUAGGCGGCUCAGCAAGUCGGAUGUGAAAUCCAUCGGCUCAUCCGAGGUAAGUGCAUCCGAAACUGCUGAGCUCGAGUACUUAGGAGGAUCGCCGAAAUUCCUGGUGUAAACGGUGAAAUUCGUAAAUAUCGGACGGAACACCAAUUGGCGAAUGCAGCGACUCUNGAUAAAGUCCUGACGCCUAAGGUGCGAAUCGAUGCGGGAACUAAACCGGAAUGCAUAACUCUGGUUAA